This 298-nucleotide ribosomal RNA is filed under the name uncultured bacterium. RNAcentral's name for it is "partial 16S ribosomal RNA". It matches the Rfam family "Bacterial small subunit ribosomal RNA", at positions 197 to 509 of the family's 1533-position model. The record is from RNAcentral.
CCGGUCAAAUAUUUAUAGGUACAGGAUGGGCCCGCGUCUGAUUAGCUAGUUGGCGAGGGUAACGGCCCACCAAGGCGACCGAUCAGUAGCCGUACUGAGAGGUAGAACGGCCACAUUGGGACUGAGACACGGCCCCAAACUCCUACGGGAGGGCAGCAGUAGGGGAAUAUUGGUCAAUGGGGGAAACCCUGAACCAGCGACGCCGCGUGAGUGAAGUAAGUAUUUCGGUAUGUAAAGCUCUAUCAGCAGGGACGAUAAUGACGGUACCUGACUAAGAAGCCCCGGCUAACUACGUGCC